Dermochelys coriacea (leatherback sea turtle) is the source of this 4432-nucleotide long non-coding RNA. RefSeq lists it as uncharacterized. NCBI's taxonomy places the organism in Eukaryota, Metazoa, Chordata, Testudines, Dermochelyidae. The transcript has 5 exons. The record is from RefSeq and is a predicted model, not a curated record.
GACUAGGUGACCUCCUGAGGUCCCUUCCAGCCCUGAUAUUCCAUGCUUUGAAGGUAGAUAUACUGGCCACUAGAUUAGCAGUUUUCUGUUGUCUGACUGACCAGAGCAGGGGCUGCUCCAGGCUAAUGAUAACACCUGACUCCAAUUAACCUGCAAAGAGUCAGGUGAGGCCAUUAAGGUAAUGUGACCACCUAACUCUAAUUAAGGCCCUUCUGUUACUAUAAAAGGGCUCAGUCCAGUCAAGCUGAGGAGAGGAAGUACAGCUGAAGGGCUGGUUAAUGAAGACACACUCUCCCUCUUGGUAGGGGAGCACCAAGUUUGUUCACAUCAGUCUUAAAGUGUGGCCUCCAGAACUGGACAUAGUACUCCAGCUGAUGCUUCACCAGUGCUGAGUAGAAUGGGACAAUUACCUCCCCGGUCUUGCUGUGACAGAAUGCAGUGAGUUAACAGGCAUUUGACAUCUGAUCCUGCUUUCAUUGAAGUCAAUAGCAAAACUUCCACUGACUGAAUGGCAGCUGGACCCUGCUGUUAAACAGUUUGAGAAAUAUAACUAUGUUCCCAAGGACACAUGGGGGGGGGGGUGUAUGUAUAUUGGCAGAUACUGGGUAAAUCAAGACUGCUAUUGUUAUCUACUGUUCAGUGUGUAUUGUGUCCCUUUCUAGUGGCUGGUCCAAAGAUAUUCACUACAGCAAUCCUUUAAAUUGCUUACUCCAUUAGGAUGGAGGGUCAUACUUUUAGCAUAAGGUCACAAGUUCAAUCCCCAGUGAAGACCAGUGAGUGGUCAUUAAUGUUACAAUGCAUUGAAAUACUGUGAAGGAAAAUGCAAUGAUUUAGAUUAUCUGGAGGGGAUAAGGUAAAUUGUUUUAACUGAGGUUAUAUGGUGUCAUGAAAUACAGCCAGACAAAACUGAUGGCGUUUGGCAUUUUAUUUCACACUGAUCAAAUUUUUGAGGAAAAUGAAAAAAAAAUUAAAUAUUUCAGAUCUAUUUUUUUCCACUUAAACUCAAAUCUGAGCAUGUCCUAAAUGGGUUCUUCCCCCCUCAAGUUCACUGUGGUUCAUUUUGGGUGUAGCGGUAGCAGUCCUUCCCCAGCCAGCCAAGGAGAUAUUUCUGAACAUCUUCCUGAUCACAUGCAGGGCUUAGUUGGCUUUAUAAAAUAGUAGGGCUGGGCGCUUUGGAAUUUCUCUCUCCAAGCCCCCUGGGGUUUCCAUGCCCUUACCACCAUAUCAUCAUGGAGAGAAGCUCGGUGACUUCAACCAACAGAUCAGGAAGAAAGGAGUCAACAGCAGUGGUGGCUCAAGUCAAUGGUGAGGUCUGGGUGCUGGAGGUGUGUAUUGUUAGAUGGAGGUUACUGAGUAGGCUAGGGCCUUUUCUAUCCACAGCUGGGACAAGACUGAUGGAACUUACAUUCCACUCACAUGUGACUGGCAUGAGCUCUCGGUGUCCUACUGCAGGGUCCAGUUCAGGAGAAUGCUGGAGGGGUGGGCACAGACCACAAACAGGCCAGUGGGCAUUUAACACACUAUGAUUUCUGAGAUGCUGGGAACAUUGGCACUACCCUUAUCAAAAAUUUGUCAAAAUGGUGAAGUGCUGCUUUUCAGGUCCACUUUCACAGUAGCUUUCUUUGGGACUUUCUGGAUGUAGGAUCUUGGAUCAUGCUGGGUCCCUGUUACUAGUUAGCAAUGAACUUUUUUGUUUAGCUAUCUUAUUUUAAAUACUUUUCUGAAGAAUUUAACGCCAAACUUAAAUUCAGUAGUCUUCAUUAUCUGUGCAAGGGGUAAUUUAGUUGCUAACUAGAGUUUUUUUGGGAUGUGUUAAUUUUUUUCAAUAUUGAUAAGUAAGCAUUGUCGACAAUGCUUACUUAUCAAUAUUGUCCUAGAGUGCAAUGGCCCCCCAACUCUUCUCUGACAACCUUUUCUAGAUUAAUUUGUUUUCUGAUGCCCCAAAUGCAUAAUGAAGUUUAAUGGCGUCUUCCACUUCUAUUUUACAUCCUACUUGCACAGUAGUAAUUUACUCUAAGGGAAAACUGUUUCCAUAGCUAAUCCCCACAUUUUAUGAUACUGUAAAAUAUGUAGAUAAUUUCUAAUUUAAUUACCAAUAGGCACUCAGUGUUUCUUUUCACACUGCACAAUAUGAGAUGCUGAGAAUGCAUCUGGAAUAAUGAAUGUCAUUAUUAUUUUUCAGUGAAGACUUGUCCAAUUGUUUUUUAUCCUGUCUCCUCUAUGCAUGGCAUUUUAUCAGAUGUUGGGAUAUUUAAAACAGUGGUCCUGCAUAUAUAGAAUAACAAUUUCAAUGUCAUUAGUAUGGCUAUUCACGAUUUGUAUUCUUUUAAAACAUUGUGGCAUUUUGAUUUCUUAGAAACAGUUGGAAUUAGAGUACAGAGUAAAAAUCAAUUUCUAACUUUCUUUUUUAGCUGGAGGGAACAAAAUCCAAGAAAGUUUAGUGCAUAUUUUUGAAGUUUUCCCUCAAAGGCUUUCUUCACAUCGAAGAGAAAUAUGUAUGAAGAGAUAUAUUACCUACAGGCUUAUUAUAAAAUCCUGACUGUGCAGUAAAGAUGCAGCUGCUAGCAGUUCACCACCUAACUUUCCUUAAAUUCUAUUGGUGGAUCAUCUUAAAAGCCAAAGUUUUAGCAGCAGUUGUAAAAUUGCCUGCAUUUACAUGCCAGUCUUUUUUUUAAAAAAAAAUUUAAUUGCAUAAAGCAUAUAGUUUUAUUUAUGCAACUAUUGUUCCCCCCCUCUAAAAUUGCAUGAAAUUAGUCUGUGGUCUAUUAAGCAAGUUGUGCCUUGCUCUUGUGAUGCUAUCCACUCAUGUGGGCUCCUGUACCUGUGCAGAACCCCAUUCACUGCAGUAAGACUGCAUGUGGGUAAAUAGGUCUGCCCAUACAGUCCAAAUUGCAGGAUUAAAAUACAUAGGUCCUGAUUCAGCAAAGGAAUUUCAACAGAUGCUUAAGACCAUCCAUAUUCACCAUUCCCACUGACUGUAAUGAGAGUUGAGAACAUCCUUAUAUUUAAUCAUGUACUAAAGUGCUUGUUGAAUAAGGAUGGACUUAAGAAGAUCCUUAAAGUUAAGUGAACUUAAGUCCUUUUCUGAAUUAGAGCAUAACUUUUUAAAAUGAUUUUUAUAUCUUAUAACAUCCUUUUUGUUUGCCUCUAGUUUACAUUGAUAAAACCUUUAAUGUUUAAAGUUUCAAGAAAUGUUUCUUAAUGUCUCUGCCUGUAUUCCUCAUUUUAUUUAUUCUUUGGAAAAAUUAUUUAUGAUCAGAUGUAGUGAAAACUCAUGACAGAUUUCCCAACAAUUUCUCUUUUUAUGUGCUGAACUGACAGAAGGACUGUGCUGCUCACCCAGUUGAAAGUAAUUUGGAAACAUCUCAUUCUGUUACUUGCACUGGGUCUGAGUCUCUGACUGCAGUGGCAGCCCCUGCAAACAAUGAGCUGCAUGCCCAUUUUGUAUGAAUUGGGGAAAUGAAUUGCCUAGGGAUCAAAAACUUGGACAUAUUUUUUGUCUCAAGCAAUAAGUUUGGUUCCUGUACUAGACUUUGCUCAUUUAGUGCUGUCACACAGUAAAGCUAAAAUGUGACUGUAGUUAUAUGGUGAGUUUUCUCUCUCCUUUAUAUGUUGUAUAUACUAUGCAGGCAUACGUAAACAGGCUGCAGAGAGCUGCUGUGAUAUAGCCCCUCAUCCUAGACCUAAAGAGAAUCAUUUGAUGGGGGAAAGAGAAUAUUCUUAUUGUAUGUGGGCACUCAGUUUUUCAUCUUUUUUUUUUUUUUAAAGAAAUAACAGCCUAAUUAUCUUUGGAUUAAACACAUUCACUAUAGACCACAAUUUACUAGAAAAUCUACUCCCAACUUAAUUCCUGUGAUUAAUCCUUUAUGGGUUUUCUUUUGUUAGUCAAUACAACAGACUAAUGAUUAUUAAUACCUCCUGGGAGAGGGAGAUUAUAUAACUCUAGAGCUGCAUGACGGCCAUACACUAGAUGUUUGUUGGUCUGCCAUGCAGCUGGCAAAAAAAGACAUACUACUUGUUAGAGCUAUUAACUGAUUCUUUAAAAUAACAAUACAAAAGUAUUUAAUCCUUGUCCAGUUCUAUUGACAGAACCAGGUAGGUAUAGCAUACGACACACUACUUACUUUGGCCCUUAUACAAAUUCAGUUUCAAAUGUUAUCAUGUUUUCUGUUUUGAAUAUUAAUUUGCUAGACUGUGUUAUACUGAAGAGGAAUCACUUUUCUUAUUUUGGAAAUAAGUGAUACCUAGACAAGUCUACAGCAGUGCAGUACAUUGGGCAACAAACAUAUUUAUUAUAGUGGCACAGCAGCAUCAUUAAAAUUAAGGUUGCAUCAAGACAUCUAGUUAAAGGAUUACUUUUUUAAGUCCUCUAAAAUCAACAUGCUUAGUUGGAGUUCUUUGAAAUCUGGUAUGCAUCAGGAUGGUACAUUUA